UGAGGGAAUAUUGGGUCAAUGGGCGAGAGCCUGAACCAGCCAAGUCGCGUGAGGGAAGACGGUCCUACGGAUUGUAAACCUCUUUUGUCGGGGAGUAAUAGGCGGACGUGUCCUGCUGUGAGAGUACCCGAAGAAAAAGCAUCGGCUAACUCCGUGCCAGCAGCCGCGGUAAUACGGAGGAUGCGAGCGUUAUCCGGAUUUAUUGGGUUUAAAGGGUGCAUAGGUGGUUUGUUAAGUUUGUGGUGAAAGCGUGCGGCUCAACCGUACCAAGCCAUGAAAACUGGCGAACUCGAGUGCAAACGAGGUAGGCGGAAUGUGAUGUGUAGCGGUGAAAUGCUUAGAUAUGUCACAGAACCCCGAUUGCGAAGGCAGCUUACCAGCAUGCAACUGACACUGAGGCACGAAAGCGUGGGUAUC
RNAcentral lists this ribosomal RNA (417 nucleotides) under uncultured Porphyromonadaceae bacterium. Its description in RNAcentral is "bacterial SSU rRNA". It matches the Rfam family "Bacterial small subunit ribosomal RNA", at positions 354 to 769 of the family's 1533-position model. Lineage: Bacteria; Pseudomonadati; Bacteroidota; Bacteroidia; Bacteroidales; Porphyromonadaceae. The record is from RNAcentral.